GACGAACGCUGGCGGCGUGCUUAACACAUGCAAGUCGAACGGAAAGGCCCUGCUUUUGUGGGGUGCUCGAGUGGCGAACGGGUGAGUAACACGUGAGUAACCUGCCCUUGACUUUGGGAUAACUUCAGGAAACUGGGGCUAAUACCGGAUAGGAGCUCCUGCUGCAUGGUGGGGGUUGGAAAGUUUCGGCGGUUGGGGAUGGACUCGCGGCUUAUCAGCUUGUUGGUGGGGUAGUGGCUUACCAAGGCCUUGACGGGUAGCCGGCCUGAGAGGGUGACCGGCCACAUUAGGACUGAGAUACGGACCAGACUCCUACGGGAGGCAGCAGUGGGGAAUAUUGCACAAUGGGCGGAAGCCUGAUGCAGCAACGCCGCGUGCGGGAUGACGGCCUUCGGGUUGUAAACCGCUUUCGCCUGUGACGAAGCGUGAGUGACGGUAAUGGGUAAAGAAGCACCGGCUAACUACGUG
RNAcentral lists this ribosomal RNA (468 nucleotides) under uncultured bacterium. RNAcentral describes it as "partial 16S ribosomal RNA". It matches the Rfam family "Bacterial small subunit ribosomal RNA", at positions 28 to 507 of the family's 1533-position model. The record is from RNAcentral.